Ictidomys tridecemlineatus (thirteen-lined ground squirrel) is the source of this 72-nucleotide non-coding RNA. The record is from Rfam. Lineage: Eukaryota; Metazoa; Chordata; Mammalia; Rodentia; Sciuridae.
GGGGAUGUGGCUCAAUGGUAGAGUAUUUGCCCAGCAUGCAUGAGGCCCUGGUUUCAAUCCUCAGCACCACUA